ACGGAAGGCAGCAGUGAGGAAUAUUGGUCAAUGGGCGGAAGCCUGAACCAGCCAAGUUGCGUGAGGGAAGACGGCCCUACGGGUUGUAGACCUCUUCUGCGCGGGGGUAAAGUCGGGGACGGGUCCCCGAUUGCAAGUACCGCGCGAAAAAGGAUCGGCUAACUCCGUGCCAGCAGCCGCGGUAAUACGGAGGAUCCGAGUGUUAUCCGGAUUUAUUGGGUUUAAAGGGUGCGCAGGCGGGAUGUCAAGUCAGUGGUGAAAUGGUGCGGCUCAACCGUAGCAUUGCCGUUGAAACUGGCGUCCUUGAGUGCGAAUGAGGUACGCGGAACGUGUCAUGUAGCGGUGAAAUGCAUAGAUAUGACACAGAACACCGAUUACGAAGGCAGCGUACUGGGACGCGACUGACGCUGAGGCACGAAAGUGCGGGGAGCAAACAGGAUUAGAUACCCUGGUA
This 454-nucleotide ribosomal RNA is filed under the name uncultured Paludibacter sp. RNAcentral describes it as "partial 16S ribosomal RNA". It matches the Rfam family "Bacterial small subunit ribosomal RNA", at positions 341 to 792 of the family's 1533-position model. The record is from RNAcentral. Lineage: Bacteria; Pseudomonadati; Bacteroidota; Bacteroidia; Bacteroidales; Paludibacteraceae.